AGUGAACGCUGGCGGUAGGCCUAACACAUGCAAGUCGAACGGCAGCACAGGAGAGCUUGCUCUCUGGGUGGCGAGUGGCGGACGGGUGAGGAAUACAUCGGAAUCUACUUUUUCGUGGGGGAUAACGUAGGGAAACUUACGCUAAUACCGCAUACGACCUACGGGUGAAAGCAGGGGAUCUUCGGACCUUGCGCGAUUGAAUGAGCCGAUGUCGGAUUAGCUAGUUGGCGGGGUAAAGGCCCACCAAGGCAACGAUCCGUAGCUGGUCUGAGAGGAUGAUCAGCCACACUGGAACUGAGACGCGGUCCAGACUCCUACGGGAGGCAGCAGUGGGGAAUAUUGGACAAUGGGCGCAAGCCUGAUUCAGCCAUACCGCGUGGGUGAAGAAGGCCUUCGGGUUGUAAAGCCCUUUUGUUGGGAAAGAAAUCCAGCUGGUUAAUACCCGGUUGGGAUGACGGUACCCAAAGAAUAAGCACCGGCUAACUUCGUGCCAGCAGCCGCGGUAA
RNAcentral lists this ribosomal RNA (506 nucleotides) under uncultured bacterium. Its description in RNAcentral is "partial 16S ribosomal RNA". It matches the Rfam family "Bacterial small subunit ribosomal RNA", at positions 29 to 523 of the family's 1533-position model. The record is from RNAcentral.